Molecule: RNA transcript, 839 nt
Organism: Zea mays
Lineage: Eukaryota; Viridiplantae; Streptophyta; Magnoliopsida; Poales; Poaceae
Gene name: 60S ribosomal protein L35a-like
Exons: 3
Source: RefSeq, marked validated
CGUUCACUUGCGUACCUGACGGGUACUUAAGCACUGCUACCGCCGCCGUCUAGGUUUCUUCGAUCGUGGUUGCGCCAUCCCUCACUCUCCUCCGAAGCCAUCGUCCACGUCCCAGCCUCCCCGGACUCUAGGGGCAGAAGCUGCAGCGUCGAGAUGGUGAAGGGGCGCACGGGGCAGCGCGUGAGGCUCUACGUCCGGGGCACCGUCCUUGGAUACAAGCGGUCCAAGUCGAACCAGUACGAGACUACGUCGCUGGUGCAGAUCGAGGGGGUGAACACCAAGGAGGACGUCGCGUGGUACUGCGGGAAGCGGAUGGCCUACAUCUACAAGGCCAAGACCAAGAGCAGCGGCACCCACUACCGCUGCAUCUGGGGCAAGGUCGCCCGCCCGCAUGGCAACUCCGGCGUCGUCCGCGCCAAGUUCAGGUCCAACCUGCCGCCGGAAUCCAUGGUGAGCUGGACCGAUCUCCCAGUUUCCGUUCGUGGCUACGUCUUGCUCUGAAUUCUGUGCUCUGUGCUGAUUUUGUUGCUGCCCCCUUUGGUGCAGGGCCGUAAGGUCAGGGUGUUCAUGUACCCCAGCAGCAUCUAAAGAUAAUCUGAAUGUGUGGAGGACCCUUUUCUUCUAGAUUUUAUCUUCAGCUGUCCUUGUAAGGGUUGUGUUCAGGUUGAGAGUUAGCAGGUUGAGCUGUCUAUCUGAGAACCAUUUAAAGUUCUCUGAGUUUUGGUGUUAUGGAUCACUGGAAGUAUUAUAUGAAGUUUAAGUUAGAACUAAUUUGUUUGCCAUACUUUUGUAUGAUGACUCUUUAAUCGCAUAAUAUGCUCUUAUUGCAUCUUGAUCAA